Molecule: ribosomal RNA, 520 nt
Filed under: uncultured Glomeromycotina
Lineage: Eukaryota; Fungi; Glomeromycota
Description: SSU rRNA
Rfam family: Eukaryotic small subunit ribosomal RNA
Source: RNAcentral
AGCAGCCGCGGUAAUUCCAGCUCCAAUAGCGUAUAUUAAAGUUGUUGCAGUUAAAAAGCUCGUGGUUGAAUUUCGGGGUCUGUCCAUUGGUCGGGCUUUACGGUCCGUACUGGUGUGAUAGGUUCCUACCUUCUGAAUAACCGGCAUGCCAUUCAGUUGGUGCGUCGGGGAAGCAGAGCUAUUACCUUGAAAAAAUUAGAGUGCUUAAAGCAGGCUAUUGCUUGAAUAGAUUAGCAUGGAAUAAUAAAAUAGGACGGCAUGGUUCUAUUUUGUUGGUUUCUAGGAUCACCGUAAUGAUUAAUAGGGAUAGUUGGGGGCAUUAGUAUUCAAUUGUCAGAGGUGAAAUUCUUGGAUUUAUUGAAGACUAACUUCUGCGAAAGCAUUUGCCAAGGAUGUUUUCAUUAAUCAAGAACGAAAGUUAGGGGAUCGAAGACGAUCAGAUACCGUCGUAGUCUUAACCAUAAACUAUGCCGACUAGGGAUCGGACGAUGUUAAUUUUUUAAUGACUCGUUCGGCGCCU